This 305-nucleotide ribosomal RNA is filed under the name uncultured bacterium. RNAcentral describes it as "bacterial SSU rRNA". It matches the Rfam family "Bacterial small subunit ribosomal RNA", at positions 336 to 633 of the family's 1533-position model. The record is from RNAcentral.
UUCCUACGGGGGGCAGCAGUAGGGAAUCUUCCACAAUGGGCGAAAGCCUGAUGGAGCAACGCCGCGUGGGUGAAGAAGGUCUUCGGAUCGUAAAACCCUGUUGUUAGAGAAGAAAGUGCGUGAGAGUAACUGUUCACGUUUCGACGGUAUCUAACCGGAAAGCCACGGCUAACUACGUGCCAGCAGCCGCGGUAAUACGUAGGGAGCGAGCGUUGUCCGGAUUUACUGGGUGUAAAGGGCGUGCAGCCGGGAGUACAAGUCAGAUGUGAAAUCCCGCGGCUCAACCGCGGAACUGCAUUUGAAAC